UCCUCGGUUACCAGUUUGAAAUCCUUGAGUAUAAACAGCAGUUGCAAGGCGUGUGCCUUGAUUGUGUGUUUUCAUCACUUAAUAUGCACUGAGCAUGCAUUAGCUGAAGAAAGACUGAAAAACACAUGACUGGGAGGGGAAACAAUUAAAGGGCUGCGACUGAGACCAUUAAUAAUCCUGACCUAGCUUCUCAGUGAAAAGCUAGCCAGAAGAAAUGAGCUUUGAUGAGAGACAUACCCCAUGUUUUGUAUGCUCGGUGUCUCUAGAGCUGUUCGAAGACAAAGGUCUGACUAAGUUGCUGGACUCACGACUGACUCCUCCUUCCCUCUCCCACUCACACUGUGCAGUGCUGCUCUGCAACAGCUUUCCUUGCAUUUCGCUGUACGCAGCCCCAUAAUUUUUACCAGUGUGAAAUACUUUGGCAUGGAGGCAGUGAGGAAAAUCCUG
Molecule: long non-coding RNA, 447 nt
Filed under: Phasianus colchicus (ring-necked pheasant)
Lineage: Eukaryota; Metazoa; Chordata; Aves; Galliformes; Phasianidae
Description: lncRNA (ENSPCLG00000021889.1)
Source: RNAcentral